CAGUGCUGGGUAGCUAUGUUCGGUCGGGAUAACCGCUGAAAGCAUCUAAGCGGGAAACCCACCUCAAGACUAGAUCUCCCGGGAGCAAUCCCCUAAAGACCCCCGGUAGACCACCGGGUUGAUAGGCUGGGCGUGUAAGGGUGGUAACAUCCUAAGCUAACCAGUACUAAUAGGUCGUGAGGCUUAACCAC
RNAcentral lists this non-coding RNA (191 nucleotides) under Nitrospirae bacterium GWC2_57_9. RNAcentral's name for it is "partial 23S ribosomal RNA". It matches the Rfam family "Bacterial large subunit ribosomal RNA", at positions 2736 to 2925 of the family's 2925-position model. The record is from RNAcentral. Lineage: Bacteria; Pseudomonadati; Nitrospirota.